UUUCCGUAGGUGAACCUGCGGAAGGAUCAUUCAUAAUAAAGUGUUUUAUGGCACUUUUUAAAAAUCCAUAUCCCCCUUGUGUGCAAUGUUAGAUCUCGUCAAUCUUGGCGAGAUUUUUAUACAUCAACUCAUUCUUUAACUAAUUUGUCUGAAAAAUAUUAUGAAUACUUAAUUCAAAAUACAACUUUCAACAACGGAUCUCUUGGCUCUC
RNAcentral lists this unclassified non-coding RNA (211 nucleotides) under plant metagenome. RNAcentral describes it as "partial contains small subunit ribosomal RNA, internal transcribed spacer 1, and 5.8S ribosomal RNA". The record is from RNAcentral.